RNAcentral lists this transfer RNA (105 nucleotides) under Candidatus Woesearchaeota archaeon. RNAcentral describes it as "tRNA-Pro". The record is from RNAcentral. Lineage: Archaea; Nanobdellati; Candidatus Woesearchaeota.
GGGGUUGUAGUGUAGCUUGGUAUCACCGGCGGUUCGGGGCCUCCUGACCUGGGUUCGAAUAUCUAAAAGCGAAAUGCUUCGGAUUUGAAAGUCCCAGCAACCCCA